Molecule: transfer RNA, 68 nt
Filed under: Proteus anguinus (olm)
Lineage: Eukaryota; Metazoa; Chordata; Amphibia; Caudata; Proteidae
Description: tRNA-Ser
Source: RNAcentral
GAGAAGGCCUGAAAAAAUGUAGAAACUGCUAAUAUCUGCACCUGGGGUUAAAUUCCCCAGCCUACUCA